This 497-nucleotide ribosomal RNA is filed under the name uncultured bacterium. RNAcentral describes it as "partial 16S ribosomal RNA". It matches the Rfam family "Bacterial small subunit ribosomal RNA", at positions 28 to 507 of the family's 1533-position model. The record is from RNAcentral.
GAUGAACGCUGGCGGCGUGCCUAAUACAUGCAAGUCGAGCGAACAGAUGAGGAGCUUGCUCCGCUGACGUUAGCGGCGGACGGGUGAGUAACACGUGGAUAACCUACCUAUAAGACUGGGAUAACUUCGGGAAACCGGAGCUAAUACCGGAUAAUAUAUUGAACCGCAUGGUUCAAUAGUGAAAGACGGUUUUGCUGUCACUUAUAGAUGGAUCCGCGCCGCAUUAGCUAGUUGGUAAGGUAACGGCUUACCAAGGCAACGAUGCGUAGCCGACCUGAGAGGGUGAUCGGCCACACUGGAACUGAGACACGGUCCAGACUCCUACGGGAGGCAGCAGUAGGGAAUCUUCCGCAAUGGGCGAAAGCCUGACGGAGCAACGCCGCGUGAGUGAUGAAGGUCUUCGGAUCGUAAAACUCUGUUAUUAGGGAAGAACAAAUGUGUAAGUAACUAUGCACGUCUUGACGGUACCUAAUCAGAAAGCCACGGCUAACUUCGUG